CAAUAGCGUAUAUUAAAGUUGUUGCAGUUAAAAAGCUCGUAGUUGAAUUUUUGCUUGCCGCCGAUGUCGGAACUUCCGUACGUUCGGCGGCGUGCAUCCUUGGGUGGAACCUGUGUGGCAUUAGGUUGUCGUGCAGGGGAUGCUCAUCGUUUACUGUGAAAAAAUUAGAGUGUUCAAAGCAGGCCUACGCCGUUGAAUAUAUUAGCAUGGAAUAAUAAGAUAGGACCUUGGUACUAUUUUGUUGGUUUGCGCACCGAGGUAAUGAUUAACAGGGACAGUUGGGGGUAUUCGUAUUCCAUUGUCAGAGGUGAAAUUCUUGGAUUUCUGGAAGACGAACUACUGCGAAAGCAUUUACCAAGGAUGUUUUCAUUAA
This 373-nucleotide ribosomal RNA is filed under the name uncultured eukaryote. RNAcentral describes it as "partial 18S ribosomal RNA". It matches the Rfam family "Eukaryotic small subunit ribosomal RNA", at positions 592 to 976 of the family's 1831-position model. The record is from RNAcentral.